Long non-coding RNA from Lagopus muta (rock ptarmigan), 926 nucleotides. RefSeq lists it as uncharacterized. NCBI's taxonomy places the organism in Eukaryota, Metazoa, Chordata, Aves, Galliformes, Phasianidae. The record is from RefSeq and is a predicted model, not a curated record. The transcript is spliced from 3 exons.
UGCCACCAAUUUUCAUACAGUUACACCUGUACUUUCAAUGUUACAUUUUCUUCUCUUGAUCUUUUAGACAAGAGGGAUUAGUACUGAAAGAUCCUGCAGCAAAAGCCUUUGAAGCUCACUUCUUAGAGGUGCUGCUGUUACAACAGAUAAAAUGAGCUGGCAGAAAGGAAAGAAGGAACUUACAGAAGAAAGCACAGGAGAUGGGAAACACAACCGAAAGAAGCGGGAGCGAGUAUUUAAGAAAAGAUUUUCUGGACUGAGUUUCUUCUCUGGGUCUCCUAGGAAUAAACUCCCUCAGGGAAGGAGUCAGAGUUUUGAAGACAAGAAGAGAUGCUUACACAGGAAAGGUUCCAAAAAGCUGAAACCAGCACGGGAAGAAAUAUGUUCUUUAAGGCAACCACAUUCUGGAAAAAUGUGUCCAAAAUGUGAAAUCCUUGUCUGCCGAAAAUGUGAGACCCUGCAUUCAGAAAGCAGUUUCAUUGCUCACAGCCUACUUGAUCACUACGACAGAGGAGGACGUGGCAGCUCUACUGCACUAAUUACAAAAAGCCAGAAAGUAUGCAGAGGUGAUUAAAGAAUUACUGUGGGUGCCCUGUUGAUACCUGACUACAUCAAGAAAGCUGAAGCUUGGAUCCAUUUAGGCUGAAGCCUCAGUUUGCACAAUCUGAAUGCAGCAUCAGCAACUGCAGCUGUGACGCUGUUCAUACUUACCAUAUGUAGCAGAUACACAUUCACUCAUUUAACCAGUAUAAAGUCUGUGAGCAGGAACUGUAAGUGUCUCAGCUAUUAAGAACAGGAAAUGAUUUCAAAAGCUUCAAAGAGUUUUAUUUUUCCCCUCAAGGAAUCAAGAUUAUCACAUUGAGCUGCGAAAGAGAAAGCAAGUAUUAAAUGCAGAACAUUACAAUUGUUUGUAAUGUGUAGGUAUG